RNAcentral lists this ribosomal RNA (502 nucleotides) under marine sediment bacterium ISA-3204. RNAcentral describes it as "bacterial SSU rRNA". It matches the Rfam family "Bacterial small subunit ribosomal RNA", at positions 46 to 582 of the family's 1533-position model. The record is from RNAcentral.
GCCUAACACAUGCUAGCUCGAGCGCACUCUUCGCGAAUGAGCGGCGGACGGGCUUAGAUAACGCGUGGUGAACGCUGCCCUUCUCUAACGAAAUACCCACUGGAAACGGUGCAGUAAUACCUUAUACGCCCUUCGGGGGAAAGAUUUAUCCCAUAAGGAUCGGCCCGCGUUACAUUACAUAUUGGUGGGGUAACUUGCCUACCAAGUCUACGAUCUAUACCUGGUUUUACGAGGAUGAUCCCCACCACUGGGGACUGAUGACACAGCCCACACUCCUACCGGAUGCAUCACUGUGAGAAUCUUGGACAUUGCGUCGCAAUGCCUGAUCCAACCUUGCCGCGUGAAUGAUGAAGGCCUUAGGUUCUUACAGCUCUUUCGCCAGAGAUGAUAAUGACAGUAUCUGGACAACAAUCCCGGCUAGCUCCUUGCCCACCGCCGCGAUAAUACAGACGNUGUUAGCGUUCUUCGAAUUACUGGUUGGUAAGGGUCUGCGCGCUGAUCC